AUGAGAGGAUGUUGAGAGGUUUGAAUUGAAUCAUUCUCUCUACUACCAGCAUGAUGCUGAUGUGAGAGAGCUCUUUUACCUCAGUGAUCUAACUCUCUCUUUAUUAUAGAGAAAUCAACUUUUCCAUGCAAAAUGCACUGUAACAUAACCUCAUGUGGCCCCGGUUGCUGAAUGGGUAAUGGCAACAGAGAUGUGAUUUUUAAUAUUGGGUUCUUUCUAAAUAUGUCAAUGACAUUUUGCAAUUGCUCUUCGGUGUAAUUGAAAGAUUUAGACAUGAUGGUGAUGAUUAAUGAAUAUUUAAGAAUGAG
This 308-nucleotide small RNA is filed under the name Histoplasma ohiense. Its description in RNAcentral is "hypothetical lncRNA". Lineage: Eukaryota; Fungi; Ascomycota; Eurotiomycetes; Onygenales; Ajellomycetaceae. The record is from RNAcentral.